This 253-nucleotide ribosomal RNA is filed under the name uncultured bacterium. RNAcentral describes it as "partial 16S ribosomal RNA". It matches the Rfam family "Bacterial small subunit ribosomal RNA", at positions 524 to 776 of the family's 1533-position model. The record is from RNAcentral.
UACGAAGGGUGCAAGCGUUACUCGGAAUUACUGGGCGUAAAGCGUGCGUAGGUGGUUCGUUAAGUCUGAUGUGAAAGCCCUGGGCUCAACCUGGGAAUGGCAUUGGAAACUGGCGACCUAGAGUGCGGUAGAGGGUAGUGGAAUUCCCGGUGUAGCAGUGAAAUGCGUAGAGAUCGGGAGGAACAUCCGUGGCGAAGGCGACUACCUGGACCAGCACUGACGCUGAGGCACGAAAGCGUGGGGAGCAAACAGG